CCAUCCAUGCCAUGCCAUUCAUCACUUUGAUCCAAUAUUACCACUACUUGAUUGCCACUGCAUAUAAUCCCUUGCGAUUUAUAUUGAAUUAAUAGUUCUUGUUCUUGCUUGCUUGGGUAAUCCUAAUUAAUGAUUUUCAUGUGGAGUGUUUCAAAUUUUUUUGGUACUCUACUAGUAGUAGUUUUUAUUUUUUUAUUUUUAAAAAGAAGUAAAGGAAAGGAAAACAUUGAAACAAACAAACAUUUGAUUCUCAUGAUCUCACUGGAGCUGGAGUUGCAUGCAUUGCUUUACCCUGGCCGUAUGGGCCCCACCCCAAUACAAAUGGAGUUUAUUAAUUUUGUCUCCAUCCAAGCGCUAGUUGCGUUGCAUUGCGGCGAGCCAGAUUUUACUCCUUGUUUGUGCCUUUCUUUUCUUCUUUCCUUCUCCCCACGGAGGUGUACGUACUGAGUGACUGGUUGGUGGGCCCCACCCAGCGUCUCUUCUCUUCUCUUCUUUUUUAUUGCUGCCAGGCUGGCCUGGCACUUGCUGUAAUUACUUUUCUGUAAUUUGGAUUAAUCCUUCGCGUCACAUUUUCUACAUCUCAUCCUUCCAUUCCACUCCCUUCAUCUUCUUCCUCUGAUAGAUAGAUCUUCUUCUUCUUCUUCGCGUCACAUUUGGAUCUUCUUCAUCUUCAUCUGAGAGAGAUCAGGGCGGGGCGGCAAUGGCGUUGAAGAGCAGUAGUACGAUGGAGCUGGUGUCCCGCAUGUCGAAGAGCAUGAGCGUGGCCAACAACAUCCUCGCCGUGCACGUCCCCCGCCUGCACGCCCUACGCGCCGCCCUCGACGGGAUCCAGGACGAGCCCUCCCGCGCCGACCUCUCGUCCUCCUCCGCCGCCACCGACGCCUGCAGGCUCAUCCGGGACACCGCCGCUGGCCUCACCCACGCCACGAUCCACCUCCACAACGCCGCCUACUACCUCUCCUCCGUGCUCCGCAUCGCGCUGCGCCACGCCGACGCCGACGCCUCCACCGACUUCUCCUCCAAGCUGCCCUCGCUCGCCGCCAACCCCUUCCCCCGCCUCGCCGCCCACCUGCUCGCCUCCAUCCCCACGCCGCCGCCGCAGCCCACCGCCUGCACCCUCGACGACGCGUUGCUCGCGGUGUCCGUCGUCCACAACACGCUCGCGCUCCUCCUCGACUACAACCUUGAGAGGUGCAUCCUCUACCUCCGCCUCCUCGGCCGCCGCAACGACCCCAAUCUCCAUCGCCACAACCGCCUGCCGCUGGCCCGCGACCGCCUCCGUGCCGCCUGCGUCAUGUUAGACUUCGCCGCCGCCUACUGCAACGUCGCCGCCAACGCCAUCAACGCCCACUACAUCAAGCUUCAAAACGAGGCCAGCUUGAUUUUCGGUUACACCUGGAACCUACCCUGAUCAAUCGUCUUCUUUUCUCUCCUCUUCUCCGUCGAUCUACGUACGUUAGCACGCACGCAUGCCAAGUACAGCUGGAUCGAGGAGAGGGAGGCGAAUUGAUCGACGGAUCAUCAAUUGAACAGCUUAAGGAUCCCCAGCUUCUUAUUAAUUGGUCCAAUUCAGGCUCAAGCCCGGCCGCUUUUCUUUUUCUAAUUUCUUUUCCCUUCUUAUCAUCUGCGCUGUGUCUGGUUCAUCGAUUGAUCCAUCAUCAGGUGGUCAAUCUGGAGUAGUUAGUAUACUAGUAGCAGUAAUUCUGAGUCUUUUGGACUGCACGACUACUUAAUUUUGGAGUAUCCAUCCAGCUUUUAAUUACCAAGCAGUACUACAAACCUGUCUUUGGAGUAGUAGACAAAGAAAAAGUUGUAGGUAGACGGGCAGAUCAAUUACAUUCUACGCCUGUUAUGAUCAAUCGACGGCAUUUUGUUAUUUGAUCAUUGUGAGUAAACGACCUACAUUGUUAUUUGAUCACACCACUAUUUUGUUA
Oryza sativa Japonica Group (Japanese rice) is the source of this 1934-nucleotide RNA transcript. RefSeq lists it as uncharacterized. NCBI's taxonomy places the organism in Eukaryota, Viridiplantae, Streptophyta, Magnoliopsida, Poales, Poaceae. The record is from RefSeq and is a predicted model, not a curated record.